Molecule: small RNA, 1377 nt
Filed under: Pongo abelii (Sumatran orangutan)
Lineage: Eukaryota; Metazoa; Chordata; Mammalia; Primates; Hominidae
Description: retained intron
Source: RNAcentral
CUCAAUAAUUGUGUGUGUGUGCAUGUGUGCGUGUGUACGUGUGAGUGCCUGUGUGUGUGCGUGUGUGUGGGGGCUGGGGCUGGGGUCAACAACAGAUCAGAGCACAGGAGUAGAGAGCUUCUGGGAGGGUGGGGUCACCCAUGAGUCACGUCCUGCACCCUGGAGCCCAGAGGACCCUUCGCUCAAACCCACCACCAGCUGGCAACACUAGAGCAGCCACAGCCGCUUUCUUUGCUGCCCAGAGGAGCCUGGGAGAAGCCAGAAGUGCUUGAGGAUGGAUUCUUGGCUACUGGUGCAUUGCCACUCCCUGCGACCCUCCUCCUUGUCUUCUGUCUUCUCCUGGUGGCAUCAGGCCUUGCUUCGUGUCCCAACAGGAGCCUCUGGGGCUGGCACAGCCCUCACCGCCUACAACCUGGGCCUGGUGGUUCUCCUAGGGUGCCUCUGGGAGGUUGUGGCCACCCCGCUGCUGGCUAACUGCAGCUACUUCUGCCAGCCAGUGGACUAGAGAUGGAGCAAGCAUGGAAUGAGGGUAUGGCAGGGAGCAGGAAGCAAGCCUGGAGAGGGUUAAGAGGAACAACUUCACAACAAUCAGAGGGCAAGGAGGCAUCUUCCUGGAGACAGGUAGGCACUGUGGAAUCAGCAGUGCGUAGAACAGUGAGGAAUUAGGGCUGAACCCAGCCCAGGUGGGACAAGCCCUGGCACCAGCCGACUGCAGUCUGAUGGAACUUCCCCUUCCUGCCCAGCAGAUGGCGAGCGUGUGCUGCUGGUGCCUCUUUCCAAAGGAUGUUGAAUUGUUUGACAGGUGUUCUUUACUUUAUGAAUGAAACCAGAGCAGCCCACCUUCCUGCAUCUCUACCACCAUGGCACCAUGCCCUGUGAAGGGUGAGCUGGAGUCAAAUACGUAGCAGGCAGCCAGGGUCAGUUUGUGGCCACUGCUGCCUCCUCUUCCUAUGGUCUCCUCACUGAGUGCCCCUUCCCUGUUGGGUUCAACAUGUCUAUGCUCCUGUAAGCCCUCAGCCUCCUCGUUCUCUUCCUCAACUUCUACCACCAGACACACCUGAGAGGCAAGCAAGAGAGGCUAAACUAGGAGCAGGACCCAGGGACUGAAACCAGCACAGCAUCCCCACAGAGAAUUGGGUGGAAGGCAGCAUGGCUUCCAGCUUACUGGUGCCGAGCAGAUUCCCCUGGGUCUCCAUUGUAUCCUCUGAAGGAAGGAGGAGGAUUGCCUUCUGUCCAGAUCUCAGGAUCAAACAAAUAGGUCCAACUUCCUGUGCUCACUUCAGUUAGAGCACUUCUCAUGUGACUUUGUAGCUUUGUGUGCAUCUCCUUCCUCUACUAGACCUAAGCCCCUCACUGGAAGGACUCUCUUAUUCUUGA